CCUACGGGCGGCUGCAGUGGGGAAUAUUGGACAAUGGGCGCAAGCCUGAUCCAGCCAUGCCGCGUGUGUGAAGAAGGCCUUCGGGUUGUAAAGCACUUUUGUUGGGAAAGAAAUCCUGUCGGUUAAUACCCGGCGGGGCUGACGGUACCCAAAGAAUAAGCACCGGCUAACUUCGUGCCAGCAGCCGCGGUAAUACGAAGGGUGCAAGCGUUACUCGGAAUUACUGGGCGUAAAGCGUGCGUAGGUGGUUUGUUAAGUCAGAUGUGAAAGCCCCG
This 275-nucleotide ribosomal RNA is filed under the name uncultured bacterium. RNAcentral's name for it is "partial 16S ribosomal RNA". It matches the Rfam family "Bacterial small subunit ribosomal RNA", at positions 338 to 605 of the family's 1533-position model. The record is from RNAcentral.